This 1721-nucleotide long non-coding RNA is filed under the name Homo sapiens (human). RNAcentral's name for it is "non-protein coding lnc-LMF1-3:19". Lineage: Eukaryota; Metazoa; Chordata; Mammalia; Primates; Hominidae. The record is from RNAcentral.
ACACACACAGCCCGUCUCGCGCCUGAGGUCUCGCCCGCAGGCCGGUGGCGCGGGGUCAGCUGCUGCCUGCGGUCCAGGACAGGGUCGGUUCCGCCGCGCAGCGCCCAGGCCCAGCUCGUCCAGAGUCUGCGGACAGCGCACGUCCAGACAUCGCCCACUCGGGCUCACAGUGCCAUCCGGGUGAGGACCUCCGUGGAGAGCUCUCUUUGCCAAAGAAAAGCAGUUGCAUUAGGUCUGCGAGCAGGCAGGGUGGCCUCUUCCUGGCUCCCCAUCCACCAAGGAAGCUUCAAGUCCCUGGGACACAGGCACUUUCCCACACAGGAUGGAGCCGGGCCACCCUCACAGCUCCUGCCCUGCAGACGCUGGCCUUGUGGAGGGAGGCAGGCAGCAGGAGCAGUGCUUUCUGGGCCUCUGUAGCCAGAGCUGGCCCUGCUGCAGCUUACGUCUGCCUGCAGCCCAGACGUCCUCCUGGUCCUCCUGAUGCCCCCGACCUCCACGGAGGACGAGCAUUUCCAGCCCAGCCCUCCCCAUCUUCACCUCGCACUCCCCUGACACACUGGGAGCCUCCUGAUCCGUGAACCCGCGCUGGCGGGAGUAGCUACUGACCGCUGGGGACCCCUGCCCAGGCUGUUCGCAUGUGGAAAGGAUUCAGGGAGCAGGCGAUGCCCAAAGCGUGGAGACCAGCACUGCUCUCUCCCCAGUGACAGGUGCACGCCCAGAUCACGGAUGUGUCGGGAACAGCUGUGCUCCUGCUGCUCAGCGUCCGUCACUCCAGGCUGGGAGCGGGUCCCCAAGCUUCUGGCUGGGCCUAUCCGUCUCCACUCUCAGUGUGGGGGUGGGGGGCGCCAACAGCACGCAUUUGCUCUCUGCACUUCUCGUCUGAUAAUGGGCAGAGGGUCCUUCUGCAGCCCCAAAACAUCCCUAGGCAGGAGCCCUGGGGCCCCAAGCAGCCAGGGAGGUGAGCACCAAGGACCUCCCAGAGAGCGUCACCUUCCGUCGAGGGAGGCCCAGCCUGGGGGCGGUGUCUGAGACUUGGAAUCAACGCUUCCGUUGGUGGCAGUAAAUCCUGUCCCUAACCCUGCAGUACAGCUGUGCCGUGUACAGGAGGGUGCUGUCUGACGCCAGACACCUGGACUACAGAUCGCAGCCUGAUUCCUGGUCAUUGCUCCACUGAACCCCAGACCCCAGCCUCGUUCUGGGCCCUCAUCCCCUAGAUCCAGGGACCCCAGCCCCAUUUCAGCCCUUGGGCCCUUGUAGGAUGCGAGGCCCUGGGCCCCAGCCCCCAGCCCAUCCGUGGCCCAGGCACUGGGGGGCUGAGGUCCUCUGAGAAGGGACACAGGGCCUGGGGGGCUCUCUCAGCCCAUCAGCAGGAGAGGACUGACUCCAGAAAAAUCAGCGUUUGUACCCACUCAGGCUGCCAAGACCUGUGUCCGUCCUUCCAAGCUCAACCUUCAGAGUUCAUGAGGCCCCUUGCCCAGAAUGUCCACAGAGUUCAUGAGGCCCCUUGCCCGGAAUGUCCACAUUUGAAACCUCCCAACACCGAGCCCCAUUUCAAGUAUAACCAGGAGGGAAAAUGGUGCUUGAAAUAAGCAUGCCACAAAGGAAAACCUGCUUUCUCGAAAUGGGCCCUGGCCGCCCAGGCCCUGACCUCCCCGGCCAGGAUGGAACGUUCCAGAGACCCAUUAGUGCCAAAGGCAAAUGAAAACACACCCUGUGAAAAU